AUCUCUUCUCAGACUUCCGACUGAGAUCAAGUAUAGUAGCUGUUCUUAUCAGUUCAACAGUUGAGAUAUGGCAUGAAAUCUAGGUAGGAAAUUCAAACAAUAAACAAACCCCAAAUGUUGGUUUUGUCUUUGCUUCAGUUGCUUCCAUUACUGUUGCUAAGUCAGGUAAGUGCAUC
This 176-nucleotide small nuclear RNA is filed under the name Neotoma lepida (desert woodrat). Its description in RNAcentral is "U2 spliceosomal RNA". It matches the Rfam family "U2 spliceosomal RNA". Rfam says of the family: U2 is a small nuclear RNA (snRNA) component of the spliceosome (involved in pre-mRNA splicing). Lineage: Eukaryota; Metazoa; Chordata; Mammalia; Rodentia; Cricetidae. The record is from Rfam by way of RNAcentral.